This 289-nucleotide long non-coding RNA is filed under the name Pelobates cultripes (western spadefoot toad). Lineage: Eukaryota; Metazoa; Chordata; Amphibia; Anura; Pelobatidae. The record is from RNAcentral.
CGUUACAGACUUCGCCAUAGCCGCGUCUAAGAGGGAAUGCAAUUCCUCUGAGUCCAUAUGCUCCUGCGCUGUUUCCAACGCUGUGGGCAUUUUGGGGCCCUGUAAGGGAGGGGUGGGUAUGGUGGCUCUAGGUGUAGUGGCACUAUAAGCACUGUGUUCAGCCUGCAUGUUUGGGAUGGACGGGCGGUAAAUACAGGCAAGGCUGAGACUUAUACCCCUUCAGCAAAUUAAUAGAGUGGCUAACUCCCAACUACAGUAAUGAGAAAUACACUAGCAGGCACCAGACACC